Molecule: unclassified non-coding RNA, 267 nt
Filed under: Hevea brasiliensis (rubber tree)
Lineage: Eukaryota; Viridiplantae; Streptophyta; Magnoliopsida; Malpighiales; Euphorbiaceae
Source: RNAcentral
UUCUAAGGCUAGAUUAAUGUGUAUCUAUAUGAGGCAUGUACAAAUCUUUAUUCAUUGUGAAAUAUACUAGAAAAUUCUCUCCAAAACCUCUGGUUUCAUCAGAAUUUUAUUCUACUCCACAGACAGCCUGAAAAAACAAAAGGUGAGACCAAUUUACAUGUGAGGAUGUUACAGACUAAAACAAUCAUGAAACGAUUAUUUAAAGAUAAAGGGCUAAUUACCACAACCAAUAAAAGAAACAAACUAUACCCUUUUUUUCAAUUUAAG